AGAGUUUGAUCCUGGCUCAGGAUGAACGCUAGCUACAGGCUUAACACAUGCAAGUCGCGGGGCAGCAUGAAUUUAGCUUGCUAAAUUUGAUGGCGAUCCGGCGCACGGGUGAGUAAUCGCGUAUCCAACCUGCCCAUCUCCACGGGAUAGCCCGUCGAAAGGCGGAUUAAUACCGUAUGAGGUCACGAGACGGCAUCAGACCGUGACGAAAGGUUUUGCGGAGAUGGAUGGGGAUGCGUCCGAUUAGCUGGUUGGCGGGGUAACGGCCCACCAAGGCGACGAUCGGUAGGGGUUCUGAGAGGAAGGUCCCCCACAUUGGAACUGAGACACGGUCCAAACUCCUACGGGAGGCAGCAGUGAGGAAUAUUGGUCAAUGGGCGCGAGCCUGAACCAGCCAAGUAGCGUGCAGGAUGACGGCCCUAUGGGUUGUAAACUGCUUUUAUGCGGGGAUAAAAUGUGUCACGUGUGGCAUAUUGCAGGUACCGCAUGAAUAAGGACCGGCUAAUUCCGUGCCAGCAGCCGCGGUAAUACGGAAGGUCCGGGCGUUAUCCGGAUUUAUUGGGUUUAAAGGGAGCGUAGGCCGCCUUUUAAGCGUGUUGUGAAAAACCGGGGCUCAACUCCGGUCGUGCAGCGCGAACUGGAGGGCUUGAGUCCGCAGAAAGUGCGCGGAAUUCGUGGUGUAGCGGUGAAAUGCUUAGAUAUCACGAAGAACCCCGAUUGCGAAGGCAGCGCACUGUAGCGUCACUGACGCUGAAGCUCGAAAGUGCGGGUAUCGAACAGGAUUAGAUACCCUGGUAGUCCGCACGGUAAACGAUGGAUGCCCGCUGUUCCGGCAUUAGCUGGAGUGGCCAAGCGAAAGCGUU
This 863-nucleotide ribosomal RNA is filed under the name uncultured bacterium. Its description in RNAcentral is "bacterial SSU rRNA". It matches the Rfam family "Bacterial small subunit ribosomal RNA", at positions 8 to 861 of the family's 1533-position model. The record is from RNAcentral.